RNAcentral lists this unclassified non-coding RNA (1941 nucleotides) under Silene latifolia. Its description in RNAcentral is "CCLS96.1-J2". The record is from RNAcentral. Lineage: Eukaryota; Viridiplantae; Streptophyta; Magnoliopsida; Caryophyllales; Caryophyllaceae.
CUUAGGAGUUUUAUUUUUUUUUUUGCUCCUCUUUUCAUUUGAUGCAUUUUUUUUGCAAACUUUCUUUCACUUUUCAUUUCAUUGAACUCAAAUUGAUUUCUUUUUGUGCCCAUUCCCUUUGAUAACAAAAAUGUGGUAGAACAUGGAUGAAUGAUGGAUGGAUGCAUGGUUUCAAGGGUCACCUUGGAAUAAACGGUAACCAAGGAGUUAUCACACCACAAGGUACUCUUGACUAGGCCUUAAUCCAUGGGUCAAAGGAUACUAGCAUGACACAUCCUAGGGCGUUUUAGAAGUAUUCUAAUGAGCAAAGUUUGAAGAAGAAAAAGUAUCUAUAAGGGCCUUAUAUACACUUGUCAAGCUUUCCAAAUAGAUGUUUUCACAAAAUUUUCCUAAAAUGCAACUACAUGCCAUGGUACAACUAACAUUUAUACAACCUAAUGCAUAUGCUUCUACCAACUAGUAUGCCAUAUAAACUAAAUGCAACUUUUACCAUCACAUUGGUGUAAACCGCAUCAAUCAAAAUAAAGCCACAUAGUCAUUAAUAUAGAGAGAAAAAGGGAGAUUAGAAAGAUCAUACCAUGCGGUCUUCAUAAUCCUCAAGUCUCGGAUGUGGCGUAGUCGAUCAAUGUGAUAGAAGGACAAACAAACACAAUAUAUACAAUAUAUACAAUUCUACACUAUAAAGGAAUGAACAUGUUUUUGGUCUUUCAAUUUUUCAAAUUUUUAUGGUUUUUGCGUUUAUGAAAAUAAAAGAACAUAUUUUUGUAUUUUUCAAAAAAUUUCAAUUUUUAUCAUUUUUUUUAAAAGUCAAGUUAGAAUUUCCAAUCUCCACACUAGUAUGGGCAUUGUCCUCAAUGGCCAAAAUGAUAGGAAAUUAUGCAAGCUAAAUGAGAGUGCAUGAUUUUUAUACUACUUUGCAAACUACAUGACAUAUACACAAGUGAUGCAUUUUAGAUUACACUAAAUAAUGCAUGAAUUUAUUGGUUGGAGAGCUAAUUUAAAUUAACUCCCAAUGCUUGUGCUUGAACUUCCCGAAACAAAGUAAGAUACUAUUUCUUGUGUAAAAAUGGGGGAGUUCAUGCACAAGUAUGCAAUGCAUAAAACUAGUUUGUCAUUUUGGAUUUUCAAAAGUGGGAACAAUAUGAGACACCUCAAUGAGACCGAGGUCGGUGAUGUGACCAUUAUUUGGACACAUUUAGUCCCCUAAUUGAGCCUAUUUUGCAUACUAUUAUAGCAUUCUUUGGCCAUUUUAUCCGUCAAAACCUUCCUAUUUGCUUUUCUAUCGCAUUCUAUAUGUUUUGUAGGAAAAAAGAGAAUAAGGCGGAAAUUCCCGUCUUUCGUGCAUAUUCGGAAGCUAUUUGACGACAUUUGAUGGAUUACUAUGAGGAGGAAGCAAGAACUGAAGACCAAGCCUACAAGAAUAAAAUGGAAGUGAAGGAAAGGGAAGAAUAGAAAAAGAAAAUGUAAACCGAAGUCCAACCCGAGCGGAUUCUCUGAAAUCCGGCCGUCCACAACGCACGGAACCCGUGCGUCUUCUCCCCAAUCCGCCCGUUUUCCUCUUCACCAAUCCGCCCGGAUUCUCCCAAAAACGCUCGGAUUCCAGCCCAGCGCAUUUUCGUCUUCUUCAAGCCUCAGAGAAAGACGCCCUUCCUUCAAGAAAUACCGGCUCCUCCCUGCUCCAUUUAAAAAGUGUAAUUACUAGUUUAGCCCUUAGUUAACCCUAAUGCAUCCACCUAAUUUCUACUAUAAAUACCCCAUUUGUAAUAAUCAAACAAGGAAGUUUUACUAAGGGGAAUCUUUUUAGCUAGAAGAUAUAUCCUUAGAUUAGAUUAGGAGUAGAUUAGAAUAGAUUACUCUUUAAUCUUUCCACAAAUUACACAUUAAUCUUUCCAUAAUUAUUGUUCAAGUUUAUUAGUUCAAGUAAGUUUAUUAUUUAAGUUU